This 452-nucleotide unclassified non-coding RNA is filed under the name Hevea brasiliensis (rubber tree). The record is from RNAcentral. Lineage: Eukaryota; Viridiplantae; Streptophyta; Magnoliopsida; Malpighiales; Euphorbiaceae.
AAAAAAAAAAUGAAUCAACAUUAUGGCUUCUUACAUUUAAUAGGAAAAAUUGAUACCAAAAGAAUAUGUUAUCUUGAGAAAUACACCUAGGCCAAGAUCUAAACUUUUAACUAGCUUGAUACAAAUAUGUGAAAAAGUUCUUGUGUAAAUAAAGCUAAACUCAAGCCAAAACAUAGGCUUUUAUGCUAGAGGGCAUGUUCCCAAGUAACAACAGGUUCCAAGUAUGGACUCAAAAACAAGACAUGAGAUGUACCUUAAGAUAUGAAAGGCCAAACUAUAUGAGGCCGAUAGCAAAGAAUUAAAGACAUAAUAAAAAUAAAAUUUUGUAAAGCCAGCUGCCAUCCUUUCCUGUCCACCACUGACCCUUGACUCAGAUAUUGACCUUCCCCACACGUGUACAGCAAUUUGAAGAGGAGGUGAUUCAGGUGAAACACCCAUAGUUUUGUUAAAAA